UGAAAAAGAAAAGAAGGAAAGAAAAGAAACGCCGCGGUGAGAGGAGAAGCUCCUGCGACAUUUUUGGAGGAGGAGGAGGAGCCGCGUCUGCUACAGCUCGCGCGCACAGGAGAAUCGGUCACAGCAUCCGCGAGGUCGCGGAAGGAGCUGGUGCCUAUCUCUAGCGGUCAUUUGGCGAGAGGUGUGGUACACCUGGACAGGGUGUUCAACUAUUCUGUCAACUUGAUGGACUUUUACAUUCAGAGCUCAGACUAUCUCUCAGGAACUAACAACUUGAUGGACUUUUACAUUCAGAGCUCAGUCUAUCUCUCAGGAACUAACUUGUCAAAUGAUUUAGUGUCAAAUAAAUAUUUAAAAUUGAGCACAAAGAAAAGGUUUGGGAUUAUCAUUGGGCACAUUGUUGCCGUCAGUUGUGACAAACUCAGAGUAAUAGUUUAUUCUCUCCAUACCUUCACUGGUCACUUUAUUGGGUACGAUUUAUGGUAAUAGGAUGGACCCUAGGUUGCUUUUACAAAUGCCUUAAGUCUUCACAGCACAUAUUCAACAGUGUCUGAAACGUUACUGUGAGAUCAUGGUCCAUAUUGACGUGAAAAGAUCACACAGCUGCUGCUGAUUUGACAGCUGCGCAUGGAUGAUGAAAAUCUCCUGUUGGACCACAUCCUAAAAGUGCUCUGCUAGAUUGCGAUGUGGGGCCCAUUUGAGUACAGUGAACUUAUUGUCAUGUCAUAGACUUAAUCUGAUGUUUGCAACACUGUGCAAUUUUCGACUAGAAGUAGCCGUCAGAUAGGUAGACUGUGGUCAAAAAGGGAUGGACAUGGUCAGCAACAAUAUUCAGGCAGGCUGUGGUGUUUAAACGAUGGUCAGUUGUACCAAGGGGCCUUAAGUCUGUCAAGAAACAAUUUCGCGUGAAAUUACACCACUACCACCAGGGUGAAUCAUUGAUGCAAUGCUUUCAUGUUGUUUACACCAAAUUCUGACCCUACCAUCUGAAUGUCAAACCUGAACUUGAGACUAAUCAGACCAGGCAAUGUUUUUCCAAGCGUUUAUUAUUAAGUGUUGGUGAGCUUGUGUGAAUUUUAGCAUCAGUUUCUUGUUCUUAGCUUUAAGGCGCAGUGGCUGCUUUUUUGUUCUGCUGCUAAGGUCCAUCUGUUUCAAGGUUCCACAUGUUGUGCACUCAGAGAUGGCGUUCUGCAUACAUUGGUUGUAACAAGUGAUUAUUUCUAUAGUCUGGAACCAGUCUGCCUGUUCUCAUCAGCGAUGUAUUUUCUUCCACAGAACUGGUGCUUACGGGAUAUUUUCUGUUUUUCAGACCUGUCUGAAGGAAACAACCAACUCACAUUCAAAGUAACUUAAAUUCAACUUGUCCCCAUUCUGAUGCUCGCUUUGAACUUCAGCAAAUUAUCUUCACCAGAUCUAGAUGCCCGAUUGUAUUGAGUUGCUGCGAUGUGACUGGUUGCAUCUCUAAUUAUGUUUGCAAGCAAUUGAACAGGUGUUCCUAAAAAGUGUUCGGGAUUCCAGCAUCUUUUGAGAUUAACCAAAAGCCUUUGAGUACAACUAAUUUCUGGACCAUUUAAUGUAAGAACAGGUAUUCCUAUAUUCAUACCUACACUGCUGAUUUCUGUGCCCGCUUCUAUAGACACAAUGAAGCCAGUUUAACACAUUUUUCUUCCUCUUUCUCUUUGUCCUGACUCUGUGACCACUAAAACUCCAGACCUCUGGAUUUCCACAAGUAAAACAAUAACAACUUCAAAAGUAGAUUCUUUGUAUCUUACAUAAAAUAUGUGAUUAUCUGAAAUAAAAGUCUUUGAAAAUCA
Girardinichthys multiradiatus is the source of this 1814-nucleotide long non-coding RNA. RefSeq lists it as uncharacterized. Lineage: Eukaryota; Metazoa; Chordata; Actinopteri; Cyprinodontiformes; Goodeidae. The transcript is spliced from 2 exons. The record is from RefSeq and is a predicted model, not a curated record.